Molecule: ribosomal RNA, 431 nt
Filed under: uncultured bacterium
Lineage: Bacteria
Description: bacterial SSU rRNA
Rfam family: Bacterial small subunit ribosomal RNA
Source: RNAcentral
AUUGAACGCUGGCGGAAUGCUUUACACAUGCAAGUCGAGCGGCAGCGCGGGGCAACCUGGCGGCGAGCGGCGAACGGGUGAGUAAUACAUCGGAACGUACCCAGUUGUGGGGGAUAGCCCGGCGAAAGCCGGAUUAAUACCGCAUACGACCUGAGGGUGAAAGGGGGGGAUCGCAAGACCUCUCGCAGUUGGAGCGGCCGAUGGCGGAUUAGCUAGUUGGUAGGGUAAAGGCCUACCAAGGCGACGAUCCGUAGCUGGUCUGAGAGGACGACCAGCCACACUGGAACUGAGACACGGUCCAGACUCCUACGGGAGGCAGCAGUGGGGAAUUUUGGGACAAUGGGGGCAACCCUGAUCCAGCCAUUCCGCGUGAGUGAAGAAGGCCUUCGGGUUGGUUAAAGACUCUUUCGGUCAGGAACGAAACGGUAGGU